GGCUCAUGUUCUGCUUUCUGUUUUAAUUUUUCCCCCCGGUGUUGGGUUCAGGAUUUUUACAGUUACAGUUGGAGGCGGGUUGAUAGGAUUUGGAUCUGCGCGGACGGGAGUUUUAGGGAGGGAGGGAGGGAGCAGAUUCAGGAAUCCGCAUGAUUGAUUAGCUGAUGGUCAGGGUAGGAGAAGUAGGACGAUUAGCGGAAUGGUAUCGAGGCCGCCCCUAGAUCCCGUCGCCUGGGGAGAGGAGGCGCAGUCGGAUCGCUCCGCUGCCUUGGCCCUGGAGAACUGCCUUCGCUUGGGGAUGCGAGAUGAAGGCAGCUAGGCUGCUUGAUUCAAGUCAAAUUAGCAGGGGGCUGAUUCUGAAUUCCUAAUAGCUACAGUACUGCAGACAUCCAUAUAUUCAGGCUAUGGUUCAGAGUCUGCAUUGCAUGAAGAGAACUGAAUGAUGGUAGUUCAGUACAAACCCAUACAUAGUAAGGAGGUUCCUUCAACUGCCCAACAAUGCUGUAUUUAUGAAAUCAUAUCCGGACUGCUGUUUCCUAAGUUUAUUACUCAACUUAUAUUAAACUGUACUUUGCUUCGAAAACUUUUUGGCUGCUAUCAGAAUCAAGUUGGCACUUUUCAAAACCAAAAGUCACAGCGAUUUUGUUAUGCAAGUAACUUGAUAUAGCAUCUGCUGCAUCUGGGUGGAUUUGUGGUUGUUAACAAACACGCUAUGUGAUCUACAGUAAACAGUAACUCAUAUGUAUUUUUCACUCUUAGAACAGCAUGUUUUUCAUUUGAUAUACAAAAAUUAACUUACAUCCCUCUCUUCAUCUGUUUCCUCGAAGUCCCUAGACGUCUUUCUCAAGUGCCCUCUUCCUGCAACCAAGCAGGUUGUUAAUCCCAACAACAGAAUUUACAACAAGAAGCUUGAGUGAUGUAUUUCCUGAAUGCCUUGGUAUUUUUCAGUUAGUUCUAGAGGGAUCAGUUGCUAGUUUGUAGCAUUAGAGAAUUGUGAAGCGAAGGACGGAAAUCAUGGAUUAAGAAUAGAAGAUGGUAUCGAGUAUUGACACAAUUAAUAUAACCGUGGUAUAUAAUCAUGGACCAUCAUUCAGUUCUAAAGAAGUUCAGUAAAUGUGUACGUCCCAUUCUGUAAAUACAAUAUUUUACAAACAAUUUAGAUACAACAACCUGAUCUUUGUUUUCUUUUUCACAAGAAGCUAUUUUUGGCUUACAUGAAGGGAUGCAUGCUCUUCAUCUUGCAGGUAUGACUCAUCCUCGCAUUCUUACUUCGCCUUUGUUUCCUUCAGCUUCUUGAUCCUGAAAUUUUAAGAUAAAUUUGUUUCUUGAACAUGGUCAGGGACUCAGGGCAAUGGAUAAAAUCUAGAUGCCAAGUUGACUUUUUUCCUGCGGAUUUGCUUAUCGUGAAGAUGCACAAAGGGUUAAUAGCUCAAGCAUUGGAUUGUUGGCAAAAUAGAAGUUCCUUCACCAAAGGAAGAAAGUAGUUGCACCGAUUCGGAAGCUACUAGAGAUACUGAAAACUUUGAAACUAGUGGCGAUGACGACAAUGAUCGUAAUCACAAGCACCGAAGACCACUGCCACGUUCUUGCACUAUAGUAUUAUCUCAAUCACAGCAUUGAAAUAGUAUAAUAUAUUACUUCACAUUUUCUGUAUCAUGAGGAUCAUGGCCACGUUGUGCCAAUAUGUGUAGCCUUGAAAGGUGUCCUCUUAAGUGUAGUUACCAUUAAUGAUUUGAGUUGCAAUUAACGUUCCUCACAAUACGCUCCAAAAUCCUAACUGAGUAGCGUCAAUGAGUGUCAGAUUCAGAUCCAA
Molecule: long non-coding RNA, 1813 nt
Organism: Aegilops tauschii subsp. strangulata
Lineage: Eukaryota; Viridiplantae; Streptophyta; Magnoliopsida; Poales; Poaceae
Source: RefSeq, a predicted model, not a curated record